This 615-nucleotide ribosomal RNA is filed under the name Curvularia coatesiae. RNAcentral's name for it is "partial large subunit ribosomal RNA". It matches the Rfam family "Eukaryotic large subunit ribosomal RNA", at positions 37 to 668 of the family's 3401-position model. The record is from RNAcentral. Lineage: Eukaryota; Fungi; Ascomycota; Dothideomycetes; Pleosporales; Pleosporaceae.
UGCAUAUCAAAAGCGGAGGAAAAGAAACCAACAGGGAUUGCCCUAGUAACGGCGAGUGAAGCGGCAACAGCUCAAAUUUGAAAUCUGGCUCUUUUAGAGUCCGAGUUGUAAUUUGCAGAGGGCGCUUUGGCUUUGGCAGCGGUCCAAGUUCCUUGGAACAGGACGUCACAGAGGGUGAGAAUCCCGUACGUGGUCGCUAGCUAUUGCCGUGUAAAGCCCCUUCGACGAGUCGAGUUGUUUGGGAAUGCAGCUCUAAAUGGGAGGUAAAUUUCUUCUAAAGCUAAAUAUUGGCCAGAGACCGAUAGCGCACAAGUAGAGUGAUCGAAAGAUGAAAAGCACUUUGGAAAGAGAGUCAAACAGCACGUGAAAUUGUUGAAAGGGAAGCGCUUGCAGCCAGACUUGCUUGCAGUUGCUCAUCCGGGCUUUUGCCCGGUGCACUCUUCUGCAGGCAGGCCAGCAUCAGUUUGGGCGGUGGGAUAAAGGUCUCUGUCACGUUCCUUCCUUCGGGUUGGCCAUAUAGGGGAGAUGUCAUACCACCAGCCUGGACUGAGGUCCGCGCAUCUGCUAGGAUGCUGGCGUAAUGGCUGUAAGCGGCCCGUCUUGAACCACGGACCA